This 204-nucleotide ribosomal RNA is filed under the name uncultured bacterium. RNAcentral's name for it is "partial 16S ribosomal RNA". It matches the Rfam family "Bacterial small subunit ribosomal RNA", at positions 568 to 771 of the family's 1533-position model. The record is from RNAcentral.
CACGUAGGCGGAUUUGUAAGUCAGGGGUGAAAUCCCGGGGCUCAACCUCGGAACUGCCUUUGAUACUGCAAGUCUCGAGUCCGAUAGAGGUGGGUGGAAUUCCUAGUGUAGAGGUGAAAUUCGUAGAUAUUAGGAAGAACACCGGUGGCGAAGGCGGCCCACUGGAUCGGUACUGACGCUGAGGUGCGAAAGCGUGGGGAGAAC